UACGGAGGGUGCAAACGUUGCUCGGAAUCAUUGGGCGUAAAGCGCGCGUAGGCGGCGAGGCAAGUUGGAUGUGAAAGCCCUGGGCUCAACCUAGGAUGUGCAUACAAAACUGCCUCGCUUGAAUCUCGGAGGGGGUCAGGGAAUUCCCGGUGUAGAGGUGAAAUUCGUAGAUAUCGGGAGGAACACCAGUGGCGAAGGCGCUGACCUGGACGAUGAUUGACGCUGAAGCGCGAAAGCGUGGGGAGCAAACAGG
RNAcentral lists this ribosomal RNA (253 nucleotides) under uncultured bacterium. RNAcentral describes it as "partial 16S ribosomal RNA". It matches the Rfam family "Bacterial small subunit ribosomal RNA", at positions 524 to 776 of the family's 1533-position model. The record is from RNAcentral.